This 70-nucleotide transfer RNA is filed under the name human gut metagenome. It matches the Rfam family "tRNA". Rfam says of the family: Transfer RNA (tRNA) molecules are approximately 80 nucleotides in length. The record is from RNAcentral.
GCGAUGUAGCUCAGCGGGAGAGCCCCAGUCUUACACACUGGUUGUCGUAGGUUCAAAUCCUACCGUCGUC